Molecule: ribosomal RNA, 1339 nt
Filed under: Kocuria sp.
Lineage: Bacteria; Bacillati; Actinomycetota; Actinomycetes; Micrococcales; Micrococcaceae
Description: bacterial SSU rRNA
Rfam family: Bacterial small subunit ribosomal RNA
Source: RNAcentral
AGCUUGCUGGGCGGAUUAGUGGCGAACGGGUGAGUAAUACGUGAGUAACCUGCCCUUGACUCUGGGAUAAGCCUGGGAAACUGGGUCUAAUACUGGAUACUACCUCUUACCGCAUGGUGGGUGGUGGAAAGGGUUUUACUGGUUUUGGAUGGGCUCACGGCCUAUCAGCUUGUUGGUGGGGUAAUGGCUCACCAAGGCGACGACGGGUAGCCGGCCUGAGAGGGUGACCGGCCACACUGGGACUGAGACACGGCCCAGACUCCUACGGGAGGCAGCAGUGGGGAAUAUUGCACAAUGGGCGGAAGCCUGAUGCAGCGACGCCGCGUGAGGGAUGACGGCCUUCGGGUUGUAAACCUCUUUCAGUAGGGAAGAAGCGAGAGUGACGGUACCUGCAGAAGAAGCGCCGGCUAACUACGUGCCAGCAGCCGCGGUAAUACGUAGGGCGCAAGCGUUGUCCGGAAUUAUUGGGCGUAAAGAGCUCGUAGGCGGUUUGUCGCGUCUGCUGUGAAAGCCCGGGGCUCAACCCCGGGUCUGCAGUGGGUACGGGCAGACUAGAGUGCAGUAGGGGAGACUGGAAUUCCUGGUGUAGCGGUGAAAUGCGCAGAUAUCAGGAGGAACACCGAUGGCGAAGGCAGGUCUCUGGGCUGUUACUGACGCUGAGGAGCGAAAGCAUGGGGAGCGAACAGGAUUAGAUACCCUGGUAGUCCAUGCCGUAAACGUUGGGCACUAGGUGUGGGGGACAUUCCACGUUUUCCGCGCCGUAGCUAACGCAUUAAGUGCCCCGCCUGGGGAGUACGGCCGCAAGGCUAAAACUCAAAGGAAUUGACGGGGGCCCGCACAAGCGGCGGAGCAUGCGGAUUAAUUCGAUGCAACGCGAAGAACCUUACCAAGGCUUGACAUUCACCGGACCGCCCCAGAGAUGGGGUUUCCCUUCGGGGCUGGUGGACAGGUGGUGCAUGGUUGUCGUCAGCUCGUGUCGUGAGAUGUUGGGUUAAGUCCCGCAACGAGCGCAACCCUCGUUCUAUGUUGCCAGCACGUGAUGGUGGGGACUCAUAGGAGACUGCCGGGGUCAACUCGGAGGAAGGUGGGGAUGACGUCAAAUCAUCAUGCCCCUUAUGUCUUGGGCUUCACGCAUGCUACAAUGGCCGGUACAAAGGGUUGCGAUACUGUGAGGUGGAGCUAAUCCCAAAAAGCCGGUCUCAGUUCGGAUUGAGGUCUGCAACUCGACCUCAUGAAGUCGGAGUCGCUAGUAAUCGCAGAUCAGCAACGCUGCGGUGAAUACGUUCCCGGGCCUUGUACACACCGCCCGUCAAGUCACGAAAGUUGGUAACACCCGAAG